ACACGGUCCAGACUCCUACGGGAGGCAGCAGUGGGGAAUAUUGGACAAUGGGCGAAAGCCUGAUCCAGCCAUGCCGCGUGUGUGAAGAAGGUCUUCGGAUUGUAAAGCACUUUAAGUUGGGAGGAAGGGCAUUAACCUAAUACGUUAGUGUUUUGACGUUACCGACAGAAUAAGCACCGGCUAACUCUGUGCCAGCAGCCGCGGUAAUACAGAGGGUGCAAGCGUUAAUCGGAAUUACUGGGCGUAAAGCGCGCGUAGGUGGUUUGUUAAGUUGGAUGUGAAAUCCCCGGGCUCAACCUGGGAACUGCAUUCAAAACCGACUGACUAGAGUAUGGUAGAGGGUGGUGGAAUUUCCUGUGUAGCGGUGAAAUGCGUAGAUAUAGGAAGGAACACCAGUGGCGAAGGCGACCACCUGGACUAAUACUGACACUGAAGUGCGAAAGCGUGGGGAGCAAACAGGAUUAGAUACCCUGGUAGUCCACGCCGUAAACGAUGUCAACUA
RNAcentral lists this ribosomal RNA (502 nucleotides) under uncultured Gammaproteobacteria bacterium. Its description in RNAcentral is "bacterial SSU rRNA". It matches the Rfam family "Bacterial small subunit ribosomal RNA", at positions 324 to 818 of the family's 1533-position model. The record is from RNAcentral. Lineage: Bacteria; Pseudomonadati; Pseudomonadota; Gammaproteobacteria.